Molecule: RNA transcript, 1756 nt
Organism: Gossypium arboreum
Lineage: Eukaryota; Viridiplantae; Streptophyta; Magnoliopsida; Malvales; Malvaceae
Exons: 3
Source: RefSeq, a predicted model, not a curated record
CAUGAAAGGACAGAUAAAUAAAUAAAAACCAAAAUAGCUGUAAAGAAAUAACAGUUUUAGAACCUACCAAAACCAACAACAAUAGAAACACCUUAAGCCAAAAAAAAAGAUCCAAAUAUAAGCCAAACAAACGAUUCUCUUCUCCUACUGAAAGAUCCUGAGAUGAAGAAGAGGAGAGAACUAAGCUUUGAAUCCAUAGAUGGAGAAUCGGUGAAUCAUCACCAUUUUCAAAGCCGAAUUAAAGUGAACCAUGAAACCUCUGACGAUCCAGCAUCGCCAUCUCCUUCACAGCGACUGGUACUCCGUCUGUCUAGACACCGAAAAUCUGUCUUCGCCGUCCUUCCAUCGCCAAUGUGUGAGCCGUCCUAUUCACCAGUCAGGGCACCAAAGUAUUUGUCUUUCUCCUUCUUGUGAAUGCUCUUAAUAACUGUUAAGGAAUCCCCCUUAAUAUUCAAGCGCCGAAAUCCCUUCUCAACUGCAAAUAGAAGCGCCCUUUCACAUACCCGUGCCUCUGCCAAGCAAGCGUCGCUCACAUUCGAAAACAGAUAAGUUUCUGCCGCGACUAUUUCACCUUCUGAAUCUCUGGCAAUAACUACUGUAACAGCGAGUUGUAAAUCAUGCUGAAAAGCCGCAUCAAAAUUAAGCUUUAAAACUCCAACUUCGGGGGGUUUCCAGACCACUCUAUCUAUAGAUCUAAGAGAAGGACUAGAAAUCUCUUGAUUCAGGCUCAAAUCACGACUAUAACCUUGAAUAAACCCUAACAAUUCCAUCAAGGAUGGUUUAACCCCUUCAUUAACAAGUUUAUUUCUUCUAAACCAGAGACUCCAUAUAGAGAUUACUAGUAAUUGCUUCUGUUGAUCACUCGCAAUAGAAAAAUUCUAAAUAAAACGAUGCUUAUAAUUUGACAACUCACUGAAAUCUUGCAGCUGGAUUUGAAGUGUGGCCCAAACAGAUUGUGGGAAGUCACAAGACCAUAACAAAUGACCAGAGUCCUCCAUCUCAACUUUACACAAAGGGCAGAAGACAUCAACAGAUAAAGACCUCUUUGCCAAAUUAGAGAAAUGAGGCAACAAAUCGUUAAUAAGCCUCCAUAUGUGAAUUUUAAUUUUCAUAAGAAUGUUCAAAUUCCAUAGAGAUUUGUAAAAACCCCUAUAGUCAACAUAGUUAGAGGAUGUGUAUGUAUGAUUCAGUAGUAACUCUGUAGAUAGAGCCCGGUACCGACUUUUCACUGUAUAUUCCCCAGAUCCUUCGUAUUUCCAAACCAACAUGUCAUCUACAUUAGCACUAGAAAUAGGAAUGGAAAGGAUACGCUUUGCAGUGGUUUUAUCAACCAAAUUAUGAAUCAGCUCAUUAUCCUAGUGAACCCAAUACUGGAAAUGGCAACAAAAAGACGUAAUCUGCAGUUUUUUUUAUUUUGUCACGGCUGGAGUCGUGGGCACGACGCUUAUUCUGUCGCGGCUGGAGUCGUGGGCACGACGCUGGGCAUGACGUGGAUCUGACGUGGCAAAUCAGAAGUCAACACAGGAAUAUUCUGGAAACAACUUAUCUUGAUCUAUUGACGUGAUUUGAGGGAUUUUGGAUUUCAUUUUCCUAAUUUUAGAGAUAUUAUCUUAUUUUUCUUUUAAUUUUCCUUGUUGAUUUGGGAAUUUGAAGCCUAUAAAUACCCACCUUUGGGUAAGGCUAAGGGGAUCUCUUGUCUUUUGUUCUUGUUGCUACUUUGUUUUCAUUUUUAAUAAAAUUUUCUUCUUUUGUUUUA